AGCAGCCGCGGUAAUUCCAGCUCCAAUAGCGUAUAUUAAAGUUGUUGCAGUUAAAAAGCUCGUAGUUGAACUUCGGGAUCAAUGGAUCGGUCGUGCCCUCGGUAUGUACUGGUUUUAUUGGUUCUCACCUUCUAAUGAACCAUAAUGUCAUUCAUUUAAUGUUAUGGGGAAUUAGGACUGUUACCUUGAAAAAAUUAGAGUGUUUAAAGCAGGCUAACGCUUGAAUACAUUAGCAUGGAAUAAUGAAAUAGGACGUUUGAUUCUAUUUUGUUGGUUUCUAGGAUCGACGUAAUGAUUAAUAGGGAUAGUUGGGGGCAUUAGUAUUCAAUUGUCAGAGGUGAAAUUCUUGGAUUUAUUGAAGACUAACUACUGCGAAAGCAUUUGCCAAGGAUGUUUUCAUUAAUCAAGAACGAAAGUUAGGGGAUCGAAGACGAUCAGAUACCGUCGUAGUCUUAACCAUAAACUAUGCCGACUAGGGAUCGGAUGAUGUUAUUUUUUAAUGACUCAUUCGGCGCUUACG
Molecule: ribosomal RNA, 520 nt
Filed under: uncultured Glomus
Lineage: Eukaryota; Fungi; Glomeromycota; Glomeromycetes; Glomerales; Glomeraceae
Description: SSU rRNA
Rfam family: Eukaryotic small subunit ribosomal RNA
Source: RNAcentral